Sinocyclocheilus grahami is the source of this 484-nucleotide long non-coding RNA. RefSeq lists it as uncharacterized. The record is from RefSeq and is a predicted model, not a curated record. The transcript is spliced from 3 exons. Lineage: Eukaryota; Metazoa; Chordata; Actinopteri; Cypriniformes; Cyprinidae.
UGCAGUGUGGAGGGAACCAGAUUUUAUAUUGAAGUUAUCAAGACAACAACAUGACGAUCAAACAGCUUCAGCUCUUGGUAUUAAUCUGUUGUCAGUAUGCAGUGGCAGAUCUACUAACUGAUCUGGGAUCAAAUGUGAGCAUAAACUGUGAUCUUGAUGAAAAUGAGGUUUAUUGGAUUUUACUGAAAACAGCAGAUCCUCCGACAGUCAUUCUACGAUCAUUCCCAACACAAACGAAAUCCCCCUUUUACCAUAAUAAAACAUUCAGAAAGAAAUAUUCAGUGCAGUUUAAACAUCGUCUGGUUAUUAAUAAUGUGACUGCUGAUGAAUUAGGAGUUUAUUACUGUAUGAACACAGAAACACCUCCAAAACUCAGCAACAGCACCAGAAUAUACUUCAAUGAAGCAGUUGAACUAACUGAGUGUCACAAUCAAACACAAUGGCAGAUUAUUAUUAUCUUCAUAUCUGGACUGAUGAACGGGUU